AUCUCUGCAUCUGCUUCCAUCAGUAACUGGAUGAGGGCUCUAUGAUGACAGUUAAGAAUUGACAUUAAGAUGAAAGAAACCACAUCAGACAAGCAGAAAGAACAGCUGCCGAACACCGAGGGGGCAUUGAUUGACAGGUGCUGUAGCAAGGCUUCUAUUCUGCUGUUUCACCUGUUCCUUUCCACGGGCCUACUACAUCAAUACCACCAUUAUCCCAAUUUUACAGAUAAGAGGACCAAGGCCAGGGUUGCGUCGUGCCAAAGCAGGAGAUUCCAUGACUCCAAAGUCCAUGUUUUUAAACCAAACAUCUAUACUUACAGUAGCAUGAGUGAGUCAGGGACUUGAGGCUUGUUUGAUAAGGAAAGAUACUGGAGGUGGGUAAUGAUUAACACGGAAUAACAGAGCUUGGGCACUCAGCAGGUUGUGAACAGUGAUCCCAAGAAAGGCGGGAGGGAUGUCUGGGGUUGGGGAAACCUGGUGUUUGUGUGAAAUGUCAUCUGACAAGCAGGGUAAAUGGUGGCAGCAUUCAGGCUGCUCCUCUACCACAAUUUCUUUCUCUUUCUUUCUUCUCUACUCCUCUGGUUCCUAUACAAGUUCCAACUAAGAACAUGUCACAUGAAACUUAGAGGGAAAAAGUACUGUGCAGAUAUUUUAGUAUUUGAAGCAGGCAUGAUUUUUCUCUCCACCUCUCACCCCAACCUUGGGUGUCUAGACUCUGUUCAAGUUAGAUUUUUUUUUAAUGCAAACUUCAGUCACAAGAAGAAAAGGACAGUGGUUAGUGUCACAGCAUACACACAUUCUAGCAAGUGUGCCCAACCUGCAGCUCAUGGGUCACAUGCAUCCCAAAAUAGCUGUGAAUGAAGCCUGGUGCAUUUGUAGAUCACAUUAUAAUAUCAGAAGUUUGGGCGUCCCUGUGCCCUGAGUCAAAGGGGUGAGUAUCCUGUAUAGUAGGGCUUUCUCUCUGAAGGAAGAGGCUUGUCAACAGGGUGGUGUUCUAUACAAUGAGGGCUGGGUAUGCUGUAUGAUGAGGGGUGGGUAUGCUGAAUGAUGAGGGGUGGGUAUGCUGUAUGAUGAGGGGUGAGUUGCUGCAUGGUGAGGGGAGGGUGUGUUGUAUGGUGAGGGGUGAGUGUGUUGUAUAGUGAGAGGUAAGUGUGCUGUAUGGUGACGGGUAGGCAUGUUAUAUGAUGAGGAUUUCUCUCUGAAGAGGCUGAGCAAAUCAGAGGAUAAAACCCAACUCCACAGGUGUCUUAUGACUCGGAGCAGAGCACUUCUUGUACCAUCCCGACUCUAAACUUGUGGGACAUCUGUCUUUCCCUAAACCUUCAGAAGGCUUUUUUCUUUCUUUUUUUAAAAGCACUUAUUUAUUCAUAUAUUUUAUGCAUAUGAGUGCUCUGUCUUCAUGCACAGCAGAAGAAGGAAUCUGAUCCCAUUACAGAUGGUUGUGAGCCAACACGUGGUUGCUGGGAAUUGAACUCAGGACCUCUGGAAGAGUAGUAAAGUGCUCUUUACUGCUGAGCCAUCUCUCUAGGCCCCAGAGCACAUUUCCUAAUGUUACUCUAGGCCAGAGGACAUCUCCUAAUGUUACUCUAUGACAAGGAAUUUAUGGACCAAUAUAAAUCAGUUUGGCUCAGUUUGGCCAAGCCAUGCUACUGAGAUAUUUGUAUAAACCUGAUUCUAGAGGGGCAAUGUUUUGGAUGACAGUGACAAUCAAGAGAUUUUCAGCAAUGCACAUUACUUUCCAUUUGAGCUUCAUCUAUUCAGUGGAGGCCUCAGCAGAAAAGAGACUUCUGAUGAGGAAGAAAGUCUGCUAUCAAGAUGUCUAUGGUCCUGCACUACAGGUCUUCCCUGGGUCUUUGGUAUGCCAGACCCAUCCUACAGAUUUUGGACCCGUCUUUCUCCACAAUCACAUGGACCAUUAAAAUGAUGGGCUAUUAAAACAA
Peromyscus maniculatus bairdii (prairie deer mouse) is the source of this 1940-nucleotide non-coding RNA. The record is from RefSeq and is a predicted model, not a curated record. NCBI's taxonomy places the organism in Eukaryota, Metazoa, Chordata, Mammalia, Rodentia, Cricetidae.